GACGAACGCUGGCGGCGUGCCUAAUACAUGCAAGUUGAGCGCUGAAGGUUGGUACUUGUACCAACUGGAUGAGCAGCGAACGGGUGAGUAACGCGUGGGGAAUCUGCCUUUGAGCGGGGGACAACAUUUGGAAACGAAUGCUAAUACCGCAUAAAAACUUUAAACACAAGUUUUAAGUUUGAAAGAUGCAAUUGCAUCACUCAAAGAUGAUCCCGCGUUGUAUUAGCUAGUUGGUGAGGUAAAGGCUCACCAAGGCGAUGAUACAUAGCCGACCUGAGAGGGUGAUCGGCCCCAUUGGGACUGGGACACGGCCCAAACUCCUACGGGAGGCAGCAGUAGGGAGUCUUCGGCAAUGGACGAGAGUCUGACCGAGCGACGCCGCGUGAGUGAAGAAGGGUUUCGGAUCGUAAAAAUCUGUUGGUAGAGAAGAACGUUGGUGAGAGUGGAAAGCUCAUCAAGUGACGGUAACUACACAGAAAGGGACGGCUAACUACGUG
RNAcentral lists this ribosomal RNA (497 nucleotides) under uncultured bacterium. RNAcentral describes it as "partial 16S ribosomal RNA". It matches the Rfam family "Bacterial small subunit ribosomal RNA", at positions 28 to 507 of the family's 1533-position model. The record is from RNAcentral.